UACGUAGGGGGCAAGCGUUAUCCGGAUUUACUGGGUGUAAAGGGAGCGCAGACGGCAGUGCAAGUCUGGAGUGAAAGCCCGGGGCCCAACCCCGGAACUGCUCUGGAAACUGUGUGGCUAGAGUACUGGAGGGGCAGGCGGAAUUCCUAGUGUAGCGGUGAAAUGCGUAGAUAUUAGGAGGAACACCAGUGGCGAAGGCGGCCUGCUGGACAGUAACUGACGUUGAGGCUCGAAAGCGUGGGGAGCAAACAGG
This 253-nucleotide ribosomal RNA is filed under the name uncultured bacterium. RNAcentral describes it as "partial 16S ribosomal RNA". It matches the Rfam family "Bacterial small subunit ribosomal RNA", at positions 524 to 776 of the family's 1533-position model. The record is from RNAcentral.